GCCUAGUUAGCUUAGUUGAUAGUGCGUCUGCCUUGUAAGCGCUAGGCCGCGGGUUCGAUUCCCGCCCGGAGCG
Molecule: transfer RNA, 73 nt
Filed under: Diaphorina citri (Asian citrus psyllid)
Lineage: Eukaryota; Metazoa; Arthropoda; Insecta; Hemiptera; Psyllidae
Rfam family: tRNA
About the family: Transfer RNA (tRNA) molecules are approximately 80 nucleotides in length.
Source: Rfam by way of RNAcentral